CUCUAUUAGAAAUUUUUUAAUAGUAAAAUCUGCUCAAUGAAAAUUUUAAUAGCCGCAUUAGUGCUAAGGUAGCAUAAUCACUUGUCUUUUAAUUGAAGACUAGAACAAAAGAUUUAACUUCUAAAUUAUUUUUAAAAAUUUACUCAUUUUAAAUUAUCUUAAAUGUAAAAAGACAUUUAUAAAAAAAAAAGACGAUAAGACCCUAUCGAACUUAACUUAAGUUAAACUGGGGCAGUUAAUUAAUUAUAAUUUUAAUUUAAAUAAAUAAAAAAAAAGACCUAAUAAAAUUAAUUAAAUAAUCAAGUUACCGUAGGGAUAACAGCGUAAUUUUAUUUAGAAGAUCUUAUAAAAAAUAAAGAUUGCGACCUCGAUGUUGAUUAAUAUUCUAACUUACGCAAUAGUAAGUACAAGAAAGUCUGUUCGACUUUUAAAAAAUUACA
RNAcentral lists this ribosomal RNA (440 nucleotides) under Tolma sp. CG283. RNAcentral's name for it is "partial 16S ribosomal RNA". Lineage: Eukaryota; Metazoa; Arthropoda; Arachnida; Araneae; Pisauridae. The record is from RNAcentral.